RNAcentral lists this unclassified non-coding RNA (381 nucleotides) under uncultured Chaetothyriales. RNAcentral's name for it is "sequence contains ITS2". The stretch from base 1 to 155 matches the Rfam family "5.8S ribosomal RNA". Lineage: Eukaryota; Fungi; Ascomycota; Eurotiomycetes; Chaetothyriales. The record is from RNAcentral.
AACUUUCGGCAAUGGAUCUCUUGGCUCUCGCAUCGAUGAAGAACGCAGCGAAAUGCGAUAAGUAAUGCGAAUUGCAGAAUUUCCGUGAGUCAUCGAAUCUUUGAACGCACAUUGCGCCCACUGGUAUUCCGGUGGGCAUGCCUGUUCGAGCGUCAUUAUCCUCCCUCAAACCUCGGGUUUGGUGUUGGACCCAAGUUGUGUGAACAACUGGUCUCAAAGACAAUGACGGCGUCCGUGGGACCCUCGGUGCAACGAGCUUCUAGGAGCACGCGUCGAGUUUCGAGGACCUUCCGGGCCGGUCUCCUUUACCAUUUUAACAAGGUUGACCUCGGAUCAGGUAGGAAUACCCGCUGAACUUAAGCAUAUCAAUAAGCGGAGGCU